GGGCCGGUAGUUCAGUGGUAGCAACGUCCGCCUUGCACGCGGAAGGUCUGGGGUUCGAAUCCCCACCGGUCCA
RNAcentral lists this transfer RNA (73 nucleotides) under Nitrososphaerota archaeon. RNAcentral describes it as "tRNA-Ala". It matches the Rfam family "tRNA". Rfam says of the family: Transfer RNA (tRNA) molecules are approximately 80 nucleotides in length. The record is from RNAcentral. Lineage: Archaea; Thermoproteati; Nitrososphaerota.